Cebus imitator (Panamanian white-faced capuchin) is the source of this 119-nucleotide ribosomal RNA. NCBI's taxonomy places the organism in Eukaryota, Metazoa, Chordata, Mammalia, Primates, Cebidae. The record is from Ensembl.
AUCUACAGCCAUACUACCUUGAACGCACCCAAUCUCAUCUGAUCUUGGAAGCUAAGCGGGGUUGGGCCUGGUUAGUACUUGGAUGGGAGAACACCCGGGAAUACCAGGUGCUGUAGGCU